GCACCACAAGGGGUGAAGUCUGCGGUUCAAUUGGAUUCAACGCCGGAAAUCUCACUGGAAGCGACGGCAGAAUGACAGCCAAGCUGAUGACUUUGCUUGACGAGUCGAGAGGAGGUGCAUGGCCGUCGUCAGCUCGUACCGUAAGGCGUCCUGUUAAGUCAGACAACGAACGAGACCCUCAUCUUUAGUUGCUACUGGUAAGUCUGCUUAUCAGGCACACUAAAGAAACCGCUGGCGAUAAGUCAGAGGAAGGCGAGGGCAACGGUAGGUCAGUAUGCCCUGAAUCCUCCGGGCUACACGCGCGCUACAAAGGCUAGGACAAUGGGCUUCAACACCGAAAGGUGACGGUAAUCCUGAAACCUAGUCAUAGUUCGGAUUGAGGGUUGAAACCCACCCUCAUGAAGCUGGAAUCCGUAGUAAUCGCGGGUCAACAUCCCGCGGUGAAUAUGCCCCUGCUCCUUGCACACACCGCCCGUCAAACCAUGCGAGUUGGGCCUGAGUGAGGAUAUAGUCUUUGCUAUGUUCGAACUUAGACUUAGUAAGCGGGGUU
RNAcentral lists this ribosomal RNA (550 nucleotides) under uncultured archaeon. Its description in RNAcentral is "bacterial SSU rRNA". It matches the Rfam family "Archaeal small subunit ribosomal RNA", at positions 876 to 1429 of the family's 1478-position model. The record is from RNAcentral.